Caenorhabditis elegans is the source of this 21-nucleotide non-coding RNA. The record is from Ensembl. NCBI's taxonomy places the organism in Eukaryota, Metazoa, Nematoda, Chromadorea, Rhabditida, Rhabditidae.
UUUCAUCCACUAAUUACGAAA